UUANCCAUAGUAUGCUUUGGAAACUGUUUAACUUGAGUGCAGAAGGGGAGAGUGGAAUUCCAUGUGUAGCGGUGAAAUGCGUAGAUAUAUGGAGGAACACCGGUGGCGAAAGCGGCUCUCUGGUCUGUAACUGACGCUGAGGCUCGAAAGCGUGGGGAGCAANCAGGAUUAGAUACCCUGGUAGUCCACGCCGUAAACGAUGAGUGCUAGGUGUUAGGCCCUUUCCGGGGCUUAGUGCCGCAGCUAACGCAUUAAGCACUCCGCCUGGGGAGUACGACCGCAAGGUUGAAACUCAAAGGAAUUGACGGGGCCCGCACAAGCGGUGGAGCAUGUGGUUUAAUUCGAAGCAACGCGAAGAACCUUACCAGGUCUUGACAUCCCUCUGACCGCUCUAGAGAUAGAGUUUUCCUUCGGGACAGAGGUGACAGGUGGUGCAUGGUUGUCGUCAGCUCGUGUCGUGAGAUGUUGGGUUAAGUCCCGCAACGAGCGCAACCCCUAUUGUUAGUUGCCAUCAUUGAGUUGGGCACUCUAGCGAGACUGCCGGUAAUAAACCGGAGGAAGGUGGGGAUGACGUCAAAUCAUCAUGCCCCUUAUGACCUGGGCUACACACGUGCUACAAUGGCUGGUACAACGAGUCGCAAGCCGGUGACGGCAAGCUAAUCUCUGAAAGCCAGUCUCAGUUCGGAUUGUAGGCUGCAACUCGCCUACAUGAAGUCGGAAUCGCUAGUAAUCGCGGAUCAGCACGCCGCGGUGAAUACGUUCCCGGGCCUUGUACACACCGCCCGUCGCACCACGAGAGUUUGUAACACCCGA
Molecule: ribosomal RNA, 813 nt
Filed under: uncultured bacterium
Lineage: Bacteria
Description: bacterial SSU rRNA
Rfam family: Bacterial small subunit ribosomal RNA
Source: RNAcentral